AUAGCAACAGCAGCGUAGCUGAACAUCUUACGGAUGGCCCAGGGCUCCAAAGGCUCGUUUCCUAAGUGAGAGAGAGCCUGGCUGAAGCUGUAUUACCAUUCAUUCUCCAGCCUCCGAAGUCUCAAAGCAUCACUUCCACCAUACUCUAACUGUCAAGACAAACACAAAGGCCCAGAAACUGCCAGACUGUCUUCUGAAGUGGCUAUAAUAUUUACACUCCCAUCAGCAGUGUAGAAGGGGUCUCACUAUGUUGUCUGGAGUGCUGUGGUGGAGUGGAGUGGCUAUUCACAGCUGAGUUUGCAGAGUAAACCACUACCCUGAAAUCUGGAAAGGCAGGUGCACCCACAGAUCCUCAGCUGAGAUCCAAUUACCUGAAAUAGAAGCUGCCAUUAGGAACACUUAAAAGAGCCUGUUCUGCUGGGACACAGAAUCACUUGCUCCAUCUCAUACAUUGAUGAUGAUUAAUUUGUAUGUGUACCUUCCAAAAAAGAUGGUUGUGUUUGAAUGGAGGCCUUCUGGACAGGAAAAUGUUCAAUCCUGCUGAUGCUCUCCAUGGAGAUGGUCAGCAAGUGCAAAGUACAAUUAACAUUUGAGUCUGUCUGAGUCAUGAAGAAAUGGAGAUUACUGAAAAUAAUUCAUUUUGGUAUCUUCUUACAUCCUGAGAGACUAAUCUUUCCAAGUUCAUCUGAGGCUCCUCUUCUCCAUGACAACCUCAUCCAGGGAUUUCUUCCUGUCCUGGUGUUUUAUGACAUAAUCACAUCCUUCCUGAGAUAAUGAGCACACAAUUGCCUGGAUACCUGAAGGAAUGGAGACAGCGGCAGAAAACACUGCAGAGAGGUGGAAACAUCCGUUAAUAUUUUAAAAUCCCAUUACUGCUACCAACAAUAAUAAUGGAUGCAUAGAAAUAGAUCUGGAUUAGCUGAGCUUGAAACAGUCCAUCUCACACACACACAAAAGAAUUUCAGAUACAGUGAACCCACAUGUUGAAGCUUUCUAGUAUAAUAAAAAUUUCAACUGUUCUGUUGAAUCAUCUGCCUGAUUGGAGGCUACAGAAAAGAUGUCAUCUUAGGAGUGCUUGCUCUGAGUGAGGCUCAUCUUCAAAUCUGAAUGACCACAAGGAGAUUUGAUUAUACAUGUGAACACCUCAGAAGGCACAGCCCACCCAGAAGGCAGACAGAAGAAGCUGCCAGGAAGACUGUGAAAUCUUCAUGCCCAAGGAUCCCUAAAAUUAGGAGCAACAACCACUUGGCUCAGACGGUUUAUGGAGGCAAAGGUUUGGAUGGGAUUAGAGAUUUCUAAAUGUGAGUUCGUGUCCUCUGCCAGACCACCUUACUUCCACCAUUCCUCAGCAAAUCAAGAAAAACAGGAGAAAAGACAUGCCUUUCCAUAAGUUAAAUCUAUUCUGUUUUAAUUCUAUAUUAUAUCUGCUGUACAACUUCUUUUGUUUGUAACACCAUAUUGUUGCUAGUAACUGGAAAUUAAUUUUCACAUGCCUCAGCUUAGAAAAAUAAAAAGCAGCCCUGCA
Molecule: long non-coding RNA, 1525 nt
Filed under: Homo sapiens (human)
Lineage: Eukaryota; Metazoa; Chordata; Mammalia; Primates; Hominidae
Description: long intergenic non-protein coding RNA 635
Source: RNAcentral